Molecule: long non-coding RNA, 6544 nt
Filed under: Medicago truncatula (barrel medic)
Lineage: Eukaryota; Viridiplantae; Streptophyta; Magnoliopsida; Fabales; Fabaceae
Description: long non-coding RNA (MTRU_LNC002613)
Source: RNAcentral
UAAAAGGGGAAAAAUACAAAAUCAACAUGACAUAAAAUCAUUAACACCCAAAAACAUCAAUCACGGUCUGCUGGAUCCUGAUCGAACCACCAUCUCCCGAAACAUCAAAGCUAGGAAGCACUUGACAACCUACAAAAGAAAUUAAAGUGAACAAUCCCCAACGGGAUGAGCGACUAGGACAAGGUCCCACUACCAGAGAUAGGGCGACCUAGAACGCCUCCUAUACAUAAUAAUAUUGGGCUCCAACAUACGACAUAGGUCACUUCUGACUCAUAAAAGGUACAUUGCCUAGCUUAACCACCCAAAGAUAUUAUAUCAAAUAUGGAGGGCCAUGUUACAAGUGACAAACACAUGAAUGACUGAUUCCUCAAUCAAUUCACAAAAGGAGGAUGAGGAAGCAUUCAGAUCCAUGAUCACCCUUAUUUUAAAAAGAUUAUCACGGGUAAUGAUCCUAUAACGGAUAAGCUUCCAAGAGAAUGCGAUCACCUUGACAUUUCCCUACAUAUGGUAUUUUGUGUUGUUAAAUACUAACAUGGUAACUUGUAUUAUGCAUACAUAUAUGUAAAAGGAAAUAUCUUCUUAAACACAGUUGAACACGCUAGGAAGGGACAAUGACAAAGAUCACACAUCUUAUCUGCAAACAUUAUGUUUACCACGCUCCUCGGAGACCAUCACUGUAAUUUAUAAAGAGAAAAUUUCAUUCGACUGAAAGGAUUUCAGAACAUAAUAAUUUACCAAGUGACAAGGUAGCAUAGAGAUGAUCAAUUGGAAGACGAACAUAGGAUUUGAAGUAAUAAGAAAGUCAUGAAUCCAACUAUUCACAAGUAACUUUGUUAUUUUUAGAAAAACACAUUAAUGAUUCUAUUUUAUCCAAAAGGUGGGAGAAAAUAUCUUUAUUCAUACAACUUUUAAAAUGGAUAUAUAAUGGACUUCACUUAUAUAUACCAUUAAAAUGGAAAUGUCAUUGACAUUGACCAAUCCAAUUAUAAUAAAUACAUCAAUUCAAUUAUUUUUUUUUUCUCUCUCUUUCACAUAUUUUUAUGUUCAAAAAAUUUAUAUUAAGUGUAGCACGGUGUUACAUUAAAUGGACCAAUGUCAUCUGAUAUUAUGUCACACAAUUGACAUCCUAUAAUACUCUAACUAUUUCAUUUUGAACUGCAACAAUAAUAAUAUUAAUAAUCCUUUAGGUGUUUUCCCUUUAAAUAAACACUAUAGUGUAGACACAUUGGAACCAAAAGAUAUAAAAAUAAAUACGGAGUAACCACUUUCAUAUUAUUUUUUUGUUUUGUCUUUCAUAGUUGCCACAAUGUUUACCAACAGGCAAUAACAACAUUAUCUAUUGCGGUGGUCUCCCCCCACAGAGAUAAGGUUGUCAUAAUCACAAGUCUAUCCCAGUCCUCAUCCAACUUCAAUUAAAAAUGUUGUAAGCAUGCACAAGAUCAGGCAUUGUCUCUAGCUAGUCGUAGAGGCCGUUGCAUCGUGCAAGAGGCAGUAGAUGGUAUCGUUUAAAUCUCCAUAAUAGUAUACAAAUAAUUUCUACUGACGAUUUAUGGGCAUAAAACUACUUUAGAAAUAGAAAACAAGGUUACAACACAACAGCGCACACUACUUUCAUAAUCUUUGACACAGGUCGAAUAUCAGCUAUCUCCCUGUAACUAUUAUGAACUUAUAUCUAGAUUAUAAGCAAAUAUUGUCUAAUCCCUACAACUUUACCAAAAUAUAUAAGUUUCCAGUACAAUGCAACCAUAAAUUGUCCGCAUAAACAAAAAAUACAACUAUAAACUGAUUAAGAAUAUAUAAUCUCAACACUUGUGUACUCCAAUGCAAAGUCAAUUUCGGGAAAUGCUACACUAAUCAAUUUGUCAUGCAUCUAACAAUGACAGAAUGUCUUAUUCAAUAUAUAAAAUGCUUUCUACUCAUUGUUUUUGUCUCUAUCUCCUUCAAACAUAAUAUCUGUUAUGUUAAAGAUCUUGGUAUUAAACAGGAGGAAAGAGUGAAGGAUUGCUUGAUAACAACAAUACAGUAAUUAACGAGCGAUCUAACUCUCAAGAUCGUACGAUCUUGCGAUUCAACAAGCCACCACCGAUCUGGAGCGGGUUGAAGAUCGGAGAUCGCGACGGAUUGGGCGUCGCGCCGAGGAAAAACGGAAACUCGGCGAAUCGUUUUUUUUUUUUUUCGAUUCAAAGAAGGGGUUUGGGCGGUUCAGAUGACGUUGACCUGAUCCGAUUUGGUUGCGACCCGGGUUGGUUAUUGCGAUUUCAACCCGUAUCGCUUUGAAAGGUCAUAAUCUAUCAUUAAUUUCGUUUUUUUGGGACUUGCUGGUGUUUAAUUGAAUCAUUAGGUUAGGAAAUUGGGAUUUUUUUCUCAUCUUCUCUGAAAUUGUAAUUCAUUCAAUGAAUCAAUUCCCUCUCAUAUUUUAUUUAUUCUAUAAAAACAAGUCCAUUGUGCAAUUCCUUCUCAAUCUCACUGUGCAAUUCCAAAAAGACAGUACUUCAAUUCCCUCACAUCUUUCACGUUUUUAGACGAUGUUUAUUAUGAUGUUUCAGAUGAUAUUAUAGAUUUUUGUAGUUACUUUUAUAAUUUUGUCUAUUAUGGAAGAUCUUACAAUCCUUGUUACUAUCCUACAAUCUACGCUUUUUCUAUAUCCCAAUGAUCUUUAGUCGGAUCCUGAUUUCGACAACCAUGCUCCCAUGCCCAAUCAGAAAAUAAUCAAUCUUCUUUAAUAUGUCCUUUGCUUCUUUAAUAUGUCCUUUAUAUAAAAAAAGAGCAAGGACUUCAUGUCAAAAUUUUACAGGGGGAUGCAUUCAUCAAGAACACAAGUUAAAACACCAAAUUUCAUUGGCUUUUUGGAUUGGUAUAUCUGAGUUUACCUACUACCAUAAACACUUAUGAGACAAUUUAAGAGAGCUUAUGGAAAUAUCUUAUAACAUGUCUAUAAGUUGUUCUCCGCUUAUUUUCAUAAUCUAUGAAGGAUAAAUAAAAACAAACGUAUAUCAAAAUAGCUAGCCUAUAUUUUAUCUUUUGUUUUGUUAUGGAAAUAGCUUAUUGCCAUACACAAACAGGACCUCUAACCAAUUAGAGAACGCAAUUGAUUAGGCAGAUUGUAAUCAUGAUCCAAACAAAUUGAACCAAGCAAUUGAGAGCAAACAAUAAAACUACCAAAAUCUAAGGAUCAAGGACUGUGCAAAAAUGAUGAAAUGAAACUCGGGUGAAGACAAUUCCAUUAAAAACUACUCUGAGAAUCAUAAGAUUACAAAAGCACAAUCCCCCACAAAUUAGCUUCCUCCAAAAUGGGAAACAUGUAAAAAAAAAUAACCUUCGUGCAAUUCAAGCACAAGGGUACUAACUACUAAUACUAUUCUACUAUACAUUCAUAGAUUAAAUUCAUUCAACAUUAAUAUUACAUAGCCUGAGAAAAAGCUAAAAAAAAAAACUCACAAGCUAUUUAUUAUUACAAAAGGGUGAAACCAUUGUUGUUAUUAGAGCAAUUCCAAAAUCGUGAAGAACCUUCUUCAUCUUGUUCUACAACCGAACCUUGAGAAGUUUGAGGGUUAGACCGAACCGGUGUACGGCAAGUAGGACACGUGGCAACCUUAAGAAGCCACGUAUCAAUACAUCUCCGAUGAAAAACAUGACCACAAGCAGCGAGAUUUCGACACCAUUGACCAUUACGAAAACCAUCCAAACAAACAGCACAACGAGAAUCGGGUUCGGAAACGGAUCCUUUGGUUAUCCGGAAGUUGGGGAGGUUGUUGAUUUCGCGAGGGAGGAAAGCGUCGGUGAGAGAUUGAAGACGUCGAGUUGGAGUAGGACGGAAACGGAGACGGUGGAGAGCACCGGCUAAGAGGAAGAGGUUGAGGAGGAGAAAGGCGGCGAAACCGAGGAAGAGGAAGAAGAGGGAUGUGAGAAGAAGCAUGAUGAUGGGUUUGAGGAAUAGGGAGAGGAGAUUAGGGUUUGGUUUUGGUUGUUCAGGAUCGCCAUGGUGAUGAUGAGGAGGCAUGGUCGUGGUUGAAAUUGAAGGUUUGAAAAAAUGGUGGCAAUAAUAACAGAAGCUUGGAAUAGGAAUUAAACAAAUAGGAAGGAAUAUAGAAGAAAUGAAGGAAGGGUCGGGAUACGCGUAGAUGUAGUUACAAAUCUAGCGGCGGGUACGGUCCACGGGUUUAUAAUAAAUCUAUGUUUGUUUGUUUGGGUUGGGGGUAUUGUUUAUAUUUAUCGUCGUUAUCUUUCUUUUUAUCUUCAAACCAAAUUAAUUCACGGAUUCCAUUUCAUUCCAAAGGGGCAUAUGCUGCUAUAGAUUCCCCUCCGUUAGAGAGUAAUUGAUGCCUCAUGAGUAAUGAAUGGGUGAGAUCAAAUCUCUGUAAAGUUGGUUAAACUACGGAUUUGAAUUUGGCGUUAUAGAAAAGCACACUGUUCCACACUGGAAUGAAUCACAGUCGUUCAAAUCACAUUGAAUGGCUCAGAUUGCACACAAAUUUAACGCAGUUAAAUAAUUUCAGUAAUUGAUUUAAAUCGAACGGUCCUCAUCUGUUACAGCGUCCUACUGUAAUAGCAGGAAAUCCAAACACUGCAUCAAUUGGGGUUGUUGGAUCGCUUUUAUAUUGUCGAGAUCAUCUAAUGUGUGAAGUAGUAGUUAUAGAGAGAGUAUUUGAUCUCGCAUCUAUUAAACAUUAAAAAUUGAGAUGUAAUGAUAGAGAUUUAUUGAUAGAUAAUGAUAUAAACUUAUUAAUUAUUAGUGAAUUCAUUUAAUGAUUUUUUUUCUAGUGAUGGGGUUACAGGAUAAAGUGCUUAUUUAGUACUAUUAUCGAAAAGUAAUAAAUGAAUGAUGUAUAUAUAUAUAUGAGACCCAAUUAAGUAAGGACUUUCAUGCAAUCCUUCGUCAAUGNCUGGAAACACCACUUCCCGUUCGACUUGCAUGUGUAAAGCAUGCCGCCAGCGUUCAUCCUGAGCCAGGAUCAAACUCUCCAUGAGAUUCCUAGUUACAUUACUUAUAGCUUCCUUGUUUGUAGACAAAGCUGAUUCGGAAAUUCAUUUCAAUGAAUAACUUGUAUUCAAGGGCUUAAUAUUCGCCGGGAGAUCCCUCCCAUAAAUAUUAUAUGGUCCUAUAUCACCUUAUGUCAACCCCAUAUCCAAUAUCCAUAAUGGUUAUUUGAUAUUUGGACUGGAAGCCAAGUGAACAUAUUUUUCCACUGUUUAGUCAAAUUCUUGUGUGCGGCGGAGUCCACUUGACCACCAUUGUAGAUCUCAUCCUCCCGCAACUGCAACCCAGAAAAUUUUGAGUGAUUCAGUGUUUUUUUUUAUGCAAUGUUUGAAUGUCAGCUAAUAUUUCAAUAGAAAAUCGAUUGAAUGCUUUGAUUUAUACAAUUAAUAAUUGAAGAUUUGAACAUAGGUAGUUGUGUAAGCUUUUCUCCAUGCAGGAUUAAAUAUUGAGACUUGUAUAUGGCAGUGGCGGUCCGUUUGCAGAGAUGGCUUGGCUUUUGAGAUGCCAAUAAUAAAAAAUAAAAAUAAAAAAGUAAUAAAAACAUUUCAUUCUUUAAAUGCCGGUAAACAAGGUAAGUAGAUAAAUAAGUGAAAACGUGGCACCAUACACAUAAAAAGUGUUUGUUGGAGAGUGUUUGAGUGAGUGACCAUAGCAUUAUUCAUUAUGGCUCGCCUUCUUUUGAACCUAUAUACUCUUUAUUUUGAAAGACAACAUUCAGGGUUAACUUCGGAAACCUCUUAGUCCUUAGAAUUCCAUUUGUUUUAUAGAGGACAUGGAUACACGCAUUGAUUAUCUACGAGAUUUCUCUAUAAAUUAUCUUGUGUUGAAUUGUUGAGGGGCUAAUGAUUGUAAUUUUCAUUCUAUUAUCUACGACAACGAGAUAAUUUGUCGUGUUGAUUUUUUAGCGCAUCUUGAGACAAGUUAUUAAGAAAAUUUGUAUGCAAACUGUUACAUUGGAUGUUGUUCACAUUUUUGCUCGGAUCUGGUGCCUCUGGAGAUCAAAUAAGUUUUGAGAUGAAAAAACAAAGAAAUAGGACAUAACACAAACUACACUUAGAAAAUAAGAAGUCACCAAAAAGAACAAAUAAAGGUUCAACCUUGAGAAAAAUACAAAGCACAAAAAAACAAGUAGCUACUAAAAGGGGAAAAAUACAAAAUCAACAUGACAUAAAAUCAUUAACACCCAAAAACAUCAAUCACGGUCUGCUGGAUCCUGAUCGAACCACCAUCUCCCGAAACAUCAAAGCUAGGAAGCACUUGACAACCUACAAAAGAAAUUAAAGUGAACAAUCCCCAACGGGAUGAGCGACUAGGACAAGGUCCCACUACCAGAGAUAGGGCGACCUAGAACGCCUCCUAUACAUAAUAAUAUUGGGCUCCAACAUACGACAUAGGUCACUUCUGACUCAUAAAAGGUACAUUGCCUAGCUUAACCACCCAAAGAUAUUAUAUCAAAUAUGGAGGGCCAUGUUACAAGUGACAAACACAUGAAUGACUGAUUCCUCAAUCAAUUCACAAAAGGAGGAUGAGGAAGCAUUCAGAUCCAUGAUCACCCUUAUUUUAAAA